RNAcentral lists this ribosomal RNA (334 nucleotides) under uncultured bacterium. Its description in RNAcentral is "bacterial SSU rRNA". It matches the Rfam family "Bacterial small subunit ribosomal RNA", at positions 568 to 899 of the family's 1533-position model. The record is from RNAcentral.
UGCGUAGGCGGGCUCGCAAGUGCUUUGUGAAAUCCCAUGGCUUAACCAUGGAAUUGCUUGGCAUACUGCGGGCCUUGAGGUCGGUAGAGGCUGCUGGAACUCUAGGUGGAGCGGUGAAAUGCGUAGAUAUCUAGAGGAACGCCGAUGGUGAAGACAGGCAGCUGGGCCGAUUCUGACGCUGAGGCACGAAAGCGUGGGGAGCGAACGGGAUUAGAUACCCCGGUAGUCCACGCCCUAAACGAUGUACACUAGAUCGCGGAGGCUCUGACGCUAUCGUGAUCGAAGAAAAAUUGCUAAGUGUACCGCCGUGGGGAGUACGGUCGCAAGGACUAAA